CCCAUGCACCUGCUUCCCCCACCUCCAGGAGCCAUGGCCGGCGCGGCCACGAGCUCGUCGCCGGCAUAGGAGAGCCCCUGGGUCCUUGCUUCUUCGUCUAGGUGCAAGAGGAGGCUGCCCCGAUGUCAUUCGCGCGCACAACCGAGCCCAAGGACUCCGUCCACGACUUCCCCUUCUUCCUCUGCUUCCUCUGCUUCACGGACCCGAGCGCCUCCGUCGAUCAUCGCGUCCUCCCGCUGUCUCCGGUCACCCGCGACCUUGUACAACUCCAGCAUCACCCCCACGGUGACGAUCUGCUCCUCUUAGCCUUCCUCUCCCAUGUGUUUUGUUCCCGUAGACGUUGUCCAGACUAUCAGGAACUCGCGGUCGCCAUGAGCGCCAUGGCGUGAGUUCGAGUUCGUGUUUGUGCCGCUGCUUCUGCUUGCUGAUCCCACACACAACCUCUAUGCUCGUGUCCUUGCCAGUUCCCCGUCGCACGCCCGCGCAAGGGCCUCGCCUUGCCCCGAUUGCAUCUGCCGAUUGCAUCCUGUACGCCAUGGAUGAGGUGCUCGAGCUCCUCACACGCAUGUGCCCUUCCUGCAUAGCACACACAUCAUGCGCACAUCCCACCGCAAGCCUUUUCCGCACCCCCGCCGGCGCUUGGUAGCAGCAGCAGUCGCCGCUGCUUGUUCCUGUCGCCGACGAGAAUCAGCCGUCCGCCAUUUAGAAGAGAACCCCGAGCUUCUUAAGUUCAUCUAAGCCUGAACCCUCUUCAUGCACCAGUAUAGCAGCAACGCAGUGGUUAGCGCACCCCUGGAAUAUCUAGCCGGUCUGGGGUUCGAACCCCCGGUUGGUACCCUUUUCUUUGUUUUGUUUUUGAACUGCUGUUCUUUUCCCGGCCACACAAGAGCAGUCGAUCCCGAGAGUGGAGAUGGCGCGGACAGGCUCACGCGCUCCUGCCAGCUGGACCAACAACCGGGCGCCGCGUUUCCUACUGUAUUUAAUACGGCCGUAUAUAUACCAAGCAACGGAGUACGACUAAAACGGACAUGCGGAGACGGACCUGUGCAUGAUAACGUGUGCAUAUCGGUAUAGGAUAUUGCUGUACCAUUGGUACAGAUGAGAUGGAAUUGUACGUGAUGACGUUCUUAUCCUAUCUGUUCCCCUCCCCACCUUACUCGCCGCCGCACAAAUCGACACCAUAGCCACCGCUAACCAUGCGCCAUAUCCGGCCACCGCAGUGCAGCUGCGUGCCGUCGCCUUCGUACAACAUCUCCCGCCCGACGACCAUUGCCUCCGCCGCGCGGCAAGAAGCCACACAGUUCCUGCGGCGGCCUCGCGGGGAGGAGCACGACAGGCCCUGGCGGCGGCCUUGUGUGCGGGGCAGGGCACCACGCCAGGGAGAGCGGUCUCGCCCUCCACGGGAUCCCGAUGCGGGGUGGAGUCGCGGUGGAGGUGCUGCUCGUGGGGGGAAUGAUGGCCUGCCUCGCGCGAUUGCGGCGGUGAGGAUGUGGGAUGGCUGCGGUGGGCGGCUAUGUAGCGGGUGGCAAUGGAAGCUGUCGAGUCACGGCACCAGAGGCGGAGGGAGCGGCUAGUGAUGGGGGCGAGGGCUGGGUGCUCUCCUCGUCUCACGCGGUCGCCGAGGGAAGCCGGCGGCUACUUCUGUUUCCGUUGGCAGCCACUCCCGCUUCUGAUCUGAGUGGAUCCUGCUCCCGCUCGCCCCUGGUCAACCUCCUGCAUCGGUGCGCCCCUGUCGCCUCCGUCGACUCCACCCGUGGGUGGAGGAGAUGGCCGAAUCGGCCGUCGUGUCUUGCAAGCGCGGCCUGCUCCUGCACAACCACCAGUGCCAGUGGAGGAGCUGCGGCGGGGAGGUGUUCAUCUACUCUUUUUUGUCACUGGAAUAAGGCAAUGACGUUUUUGGGCUUCCCCCAUUUUUGGGCUGGUCCGCCAGAGGGGAAGAGCCAGAUCGUUGUCCCUGCUAGCAACAAGUUUAUCUGACGUGGGAUUGUUCAGGCUAGAGGGGUACUUCUACCGAACGAGUUCGUUCGUUCCAGCGACUCUCCCAGCACGAACGACUCGUUCGGGCUGGGGUAUCCCUAGGCCGAUCGUUCGGCAGUUAUCGAUGUCCAAGAUCAUGGCUAUGGAGAUUAGGAUCACCAGAGAUGAGGAAUUGGAGUUCUUAACGGAUCCAGUUGACAGAUUUCCCCUACCGGAUCUGGCCGGCGACAAGCUGCCGGUAGAGCAUGGCAGAAGCCAGGCUGUAAUAUGUGGACCUACAGAUUCAAGCAUUGGCGAAGCAGGAGAUGCCAUGGCAGUAGUGGAAACAUAUUUGAACAACACUUGUCAGGGGGUUACCCUGUCGGCGCCGGCGUCCGAGCAAUCUACAGGGAAGGACGACCUUGAAGCCCCUGGCUGGACGCGAAGGUGGCAUCACAAGAGCUGCUGUGUCUGUUGAGCGGGAAUCCCUCGUCCUUUGAAUUUCAAAUAGCAUGAGCGCGCUGGGCUCAACACCAACAGACCUUUAUUUAAGAACGAGGCGUUGCAUCUCUUGCCGAGCGCGAACGAGAGGUACAGAACCGAGCGCGAACGACACUUUGCCAAAUCGUCGUCAAAACCUCUCCCGACGUCGGCACCAACAUCCUCCACAACGCCGUCUCGUUCCCAUCACGUAUACGCAUUAACUGACCCCAACUGCCACCUACAAUACGUCUGCCAGUCUCGCAUCUCCGCCUGAUGGACGCCCGACGAUAGCGAGAGUGCACGAGCUCGUCCGCGCCUGAUGAUUUCUGAGUCGAUCCCUCUUUGUAACACAAACACCAGUCUAGCGCGGUGGCUAGCAGUAUCUGUUUUCAUUGGAGAGGUUGUGGGUUCGAGCCCUAGGCACCCCAUUUUUUUUCUUUUCUUCUGCACACACGCACACUUGGGCCCGAUUCCACUUCUGGCCCAUGCUUUUUUAUCCUCUGCCCGUGGAUUUCAUUAUUUUCCAGGGUAUUGCAUAAUUACAGUUUUGCCACUGAUUUGCAAUGCUCAUAUCUAAAUAUCCAUGCACCCAAAUGAAACAUGUCAUAUAUGCAUCUUGCUUAAAUUUUCACGUUCUUUAACAGUAUGCAACUUUCAUCCAUGAUAAAAAUGUUUAAAAUAUUGUUUGCAUUAAUUUGCAUAAAUGCCAUGUUAAAAUGAUUUAAUUCAUAAC
This is an RNA transcript of Triticum dicoccoides, 3172 nucleotides long. RefSeq lists it as uncharacterized. The transcript is spliced from 4 exons. Lineage: Eukaryota; Viridiplantae; Streptophyta; Magnoliopsida; Poales; Poaceae. The record is from RefSeq and is a predicted model, not a curated record.